This 484-nucleotide ribosomal RNA is filed under the name uncultured bacterium. RNAcentral describes it as "partial 16S ribosomal RNA". It matches the Rfam family "Bacterial small subunit ribosomal RNA", at positions 30 to 507 of the family's 1533-position model. The record is from RNAcentral.
AUUGAACGCUGGCGGCAGGCCUAACACAUGCGAGUCGAGCGGAUGAAGGGAGCUUGCUCCUGGAUUCAGCGGCGGACGGGUGAGUAAUGCCUAGGAAUCUGCCUGGUAGUGGGGGAUAACGUCCGGAAACGGGCGCUAAUACCGCAUACGUCCUGAGGGAGAAAGUGGGGGAUCUUCGGACCUCACGCUAUCAGAUGAGACUAGGUCGGAUUAGCUAGUUGGUGGGGUAAAGGCCUACCAAGGCGACGAUCCGUAACUGGUCUGAGAGGAUGAUCAGUCACACUGGAACUGAGACACGGUCCAGACUCCUACGGGAGGCAGCAGUGGGGAAUAUUGGACAAUGGGCGAAAGCCUGAUCCAGCCAUGCCGCGUGUGUGAAGAAGGUCUUCGGAUUAUAAAGCACUUUAAGUUGGGAGGAAGGGCAGUAAGUUAAUACCUUGCUGUUUUGACGUUACCAACAGAAUAAGCACCGGCUAACUUCGUG